UACAGAGGUCCCAAGCGUUGUUCGGAUUCACUGGGCGUAAAGGGUGCGCAGGUGGCUUGGCAAGUUUGAUGUGAAAGCUCAGGGCUUAACCCUGAAAUGGCAUUGAAUACUGUUGAGCUGGAGGUUUGGAGGGGGGACUGGAAUUCUUGGUGUAGCAGUGAAAUGCGUAGAUAUCAAGAGGAACACCAGUGGCGAAGGCGAGUCCCUGGACAACACCUGACACUGAGGCACGAAAGCUAGGGGAGCAAACAGG
This 253-nucleotide ribosomal RNA is filed under the name uncultured bacterium. RNAcentral's name for it is "partial 16S ribosomal RNA". It matches the Rfam family "Bacterial small subunit ribosomal RNA", at positions 524 to 776 of the family's 1533-position model. The record is from RNAcentral.